AGGUUAAGCCAAUCCCACAAAUCUGUUCUCAGUUCGGAUCGCAGUCUGCAACUCGACUGCGUGAAGCUGGAAUCGCUAGUAAUCGCGGAUCAGCAUGCCGCGGUGAAUACGUUCCCGGGCCUUGUACACACCGCCCGUCACACCACGAGAGUUUGUAACACCCGAAGUCGGUGAGGUAACCUUUUAGGAGCCAGCCGCCGAAGGUGGGACAGAUGAUUGGGGUGAAGUCGGCCGUAUCGGAAGGUGCGGUUGGAUCCACCUCCA
This 264-nucleotide ribosomal RNA is filed under the name Bacillus subtilis. RNAcentral's name for it is "partial 16S ribosomal RNA". It matches the Rfam family "Bacterial small subunit ribosomal RNA", at positions 1260 to 1533 of the family's 1533-position model. The record is from RNAcentral. Lineage: Bacteria; Bacillati; Bacillota; Bacilli; Caryophanales; Bacillaceae.